AGUCGUCACAGCGACUCUAAACAGGCAUUAGGCUGUGAGCGUUCCUCCCACUUCGGGAGGAGGUUGUU
RNAcentral lists this ribozyme (68 nucleotides) under unclassified sequences. RNAcentral's name for it is "pistol ribozyme". It matches the Rfam family "Pistol ribozyme". The record is from RNAcentral.